AGGCAGUGUAUAUAUUCAGUCGCUGUGCAGUGAUGCACAAGUACAGUUGUACACUGUAUAGUGCUGAAGAUGUGCGUUAAACUAUAAAAAGAAUUUAAUUAUUCAAACAGUGGACUCAACCGACCAUCGUCCGGCAUCAUAAUAUCUUAACAAAAUUAUGCCGCGAAUCAAUCAUCUCUUCUGAUGGAAACACAAUGAGAUCAAUUGAUAGACGAUUGCGGAAUAGGAGAUUAAUAACAAACGGCUGCUGAUGGAAUACUGUAAUUUCUGGAAAUAAUCUACCACAUUCGAAAUGCUGACAAACAAUUUGAGACAUUCUUUAACAAUAAAAAUU
Bradysia coprophila is the source of this 334-nucleotide long non-coding RNA. NCBI's taxonomy places the organism in Eukaryota, Metazoa, Arthropoda, Insecta, Diptera, Sciaridae. The record is from RefSeq and is a predicted model, not a curated record.